AGAGUUUGAUCCUGGCUCAGGACGAACGCUGGCGGCGUGCCUAACACAUGCAAGUCGAGCGAUGAAAUCCUUCGGGAUGGAUUAGCGGCGGACGGGUGAGUAACACGUGGGUAACCUGCCUCAAAGAGGGGAAUAGCCUCCCGAAAGGGAGAUUAAUACCGCAUAAUAUGUUUUGGUCGCAUGACCGAAACAUCAAAGGAGCAAUCCGCUUUGAGAUGGACCCGCGGCGCAUUAGCUAGUUGGUGAGGUAACGGCUCACCAAGGCGACGAUGCGUAGCCGACCUGAGAGGGUGAUCGGCCACAUUGGAACUGAGACACGGUCCAGACUCCUACGGGAGGCAGCAGUGGGGAAUAUUGCGCAAUGGGGGAAACCCUGACGCAGCAACGCCGC
Molecule: ribosomal RNA, 391 nt
Filed under: uncultured bacterium
Lineage: Bacteria
Description: bacterial SSU rRNA
Rfam family: Bacterial small subunit ribosomal RNA
Source: RNAcentral